AACGGCCAUACCAUGCUGAAUAUACCGGUUCUCGUUAGAUCACCGAAGUCAAGCAUCAUUGGGCGCGGUCAGUACUUGGGUGGGUGACCACCUGCGAAUACCGCGUGCCGUU
RNAcentral lists this ribosomal RNA (112 nucleotides) under Caerostris darwini. The record is from RNAcentral. Lineage: Eukaryota; Metazoa; Arthropoda; Arachnida; Araneae; Araneidae.